Long non-coding RNA from Oncorhynchus tshawytscha (Chinook salmon), 2278 nucleotides. Lineage: Eukaryota; Metazoa; Chordata; Actinopteri; Salmoniformes; Salmonidae. The record is from Ensembl.
GUGCUAAUAUAUCUCUGCUUAGAAUAUAGGUCAUAUGAAUUCUCUGUUUCAUAUGUAUUGUCGCUUUAAAAUUAAGAUUAAUAUCAGAUUAAGAUCACUUCAUUGGUUAAUAAACUUUGAACCCAAUUUGAAACACACACAUUUCUACACAUACGGAGAGGUGCUGCCAAAAUGGGUGCCUAGGGAGCUGUUGUUGUGGGGUUUAAGUGCCUUGCCCAAGGGCACAACGUCAGGCAAUGGUAUCUAGGAUUUGAUACCAGCAACCUUCCGGUUGCCAGCUCACUUCACAACAUAUUUUUUCUUGUCGGAUUCGGGAUUCUAACCGGAAACCCUCCAGAUAUCUGAUUCUGUCCAGGUACAUGCUACACAUUGGUUAAGUGUUUUGAGAACUUGAAAAACAGCUAUGAAAAUGUGUAUGGUGAAGGCACAACCAGCUGCAGAUGUUGUAGUGAUUUUGAAGUAUUUCCAGAAUAACUAUCAAGUAUAAAUCUGAAUUGAUGAUGGCCAUAAAGUACUGUAGAACUGUCUGGCUGCAUCCUAAAUCUACAUGGUAUGAGAAACACCUUAGUGGGCGACCAGUGUUAUUGCUCUUUCUUUCACUGUAAAUAGUUGAUGCCGUGGCAGCCUUAAUUACACCCUAUUGCCUAUGUAGGGGUUGACUUUUGACCGGGGCACGUAGGGCUACGUAGUGCUGUACAUCGUGAAUAGGGGACAUUGUCUUCGUGACGCUGUCAAUACCGGUUGUCUUCUCUGAGAAAUAUGGGAUCAAUGAAGAGGUCUCCUCACCUGUUUCUAGUUCAUCAGACUCAAUGUUGUCACGGUUCCCACCCAGUCUUCUGUGGGAUCUCUACACUAACAGAGUGGAUGGAUUCAAACUAUAAAACAGAUUGUUGAAAUAUAUGGUUUUUGAGAGGAGUAUGGUUUUUGAGAGAGGAGUGAGUUUUUGAGAGUGGAGUAUGGUUUUUGAGAGAGGAGUGAGUUUUUGAGAGUGGAGUAUGGUUUUUGAGAGAGGAGUAUGGUUUUUGAGAGAGGAGUGAGUUUUGAGAGUGGAGUAUGGUUUUUGAGAGAGGAGUAUGGUUUUUGAGAGUAGUAUGAGUAGGCUAAGGAGUAUGGUUUUUAAGAGUGGAGUGUGGUUUUUGAGAGAGGUGUGGUUUAAGAAAAAGGAGUAUGGUUUUGAGAGAGGAGUAUAAUUUUUGAGAGAGGAGUAUAGUUUUUGAGAGAGGAGUGUGGUUUUGAGAGCGGAGUAUGGUUUUUGAGAGAGGAGUAUGGUUUUUGAGAGAGGAGUAUGGUUUUUGAGAGAGGAGUAUGGUUUUUGAGAGAGGAGUAUGGUUUUUGAGAGAGGAGUGGGGUUUUUGAGAGAGGAGUAUGGUUUUUGAGAGAGGAGUAUGGUUUUUGAGAGAGGAGUAUGGUUUUUGAGAGAGGAGUGGGGUUUUUGAGAGUGGAGUGUGGUUUUUGAGAGGAUUAUAGUUUUUGAGAGAGGAGUAUGGUUUUUGAGAGAGGAGUGGGGUUUUUGAGAGUGGAGUGUGGUUUUUGAGAGGAUUAUAGUUUUUGAGAGAGGAGGGUUUUUGCUGUGUUUCAGCAGAUGUACAUUGAAUAUUGCUAUAAGAGAGAGGAGCACCACUGUAGUCUCACUACAGCGGUGCACCGUGUACAGUGUGAGAAUGGAGAACAGCCAUUGCAAUUAUGUCAGAUCAGACAUCCAAUUUUGACAACCAAACCUUGUUACAAAUUUGUUUCUGUAAAAAUCUGGGUUAAAUGGGUAGGUGAUUAUUCUACCAAGCCAAUCAGCAGGCAAGGUGGAGCCAUUCUACAGUACCUAUCAAAUCCUCUCAGGUCUCUACAAGUGCAUAGGGGAGAGAGGCUUGGGGUGAACUCGGGAUGAAAUGAAACUAGUGCACUGACGGAGUGGUAACGGUGAUUCUCAGUACUCUGUUAUGGGGUAGUUAGUAUAGCAUUUCCCUGGGCCCUCUCCCUCUCUCUCCACUACAGAGUUUUUGCUGUUGCUGUUCUCCCUCUCUCUCCACUACAGAGUUGUUGCUGCUCUCCCUCUCUCUCCACUAUAGAGUUGUUGCUGCUCUCCCUCUCUCUCCACUAUAGAGUUGUUGCUGCUCUCCCUCUCUCUCCACUACAGAGUUGUUGCUGCUCUCCCUCUCUCUCCACUACAGAGUUGUUGCUGCUCUCCCUCUCUCUCCACUAUAGAGUUGUUGCUGCUCUCCCUCUCUCUCCACUACAGAGUUGUUGCUGCUCUCCCUCUCUCUCCACUACAGAGCUGUUGCUG